CCUUUAGAAGGUUGGCAGUUUCAUGGAUGAACUGUCCAAAGUAGUCUCGGAAGAAGUACCUGGAACCUUGUCUUCAUUAAAGCGUCUGCUUGGAGAUAAUGAUUUGACUGCCAACUUAACAAUCUAAGGCAAAGAAUAUCAGGAAACCAAUAUGAAAAGAAAGUUAGAACAAAUAAAUCAACCUCUCGUGGGCGAAGAAGUAGUCGAAUAAUAAGCUGAUCUCUCUUCUAGAUUCAAGUGAACUGGAGUUUGUAAAUGCUCGAGGUCUGAAGCUGGAAUUGUAAUGAGCAGACAGUGUCAGGGUAGAUUUUACUCUAAUUUCAUAGAUUCCAUGAACACAUUUUGUAUUUUGGAAUAUGGAUUAAGAUCUAUCAGUUUCCAUCUAUUGAUUAAAUGACUGGAAUACUGAUCAGUAUGUGCUUUGGCCUCUUUUUCUCGAAAAAAAAAAUGAAGGAAAAAGACAGUUUAGCCUGUAUUUUUUUUAGAAAUAUACUUAAACUAUAAAAAUCUAGCACA
Molecule: non-coding RNA, 516 nt
Organism: Phoenix dactylifera (date palm)
Lineage: Eukaryota; Viridiplantae; Streptophyta; Magnoliopsida; Arecales; Arecaceae
Source: RefSeq, a predicted model, not a curated record